Molecule: unclassified non-coding RNA, 237 nt
Filed under: Hevea brasiliensis (rubber tree)
Lineage: Eukaryota; Viridiplantae; Streptophyta; Magnoliopsida; Malpighiales; Euphorbiaceae
Source: RNAcentral
GGUGUAAUGUGGGGUGGGAAGCUAAGAUCAGCCCCACUUGCAUAGUCACUUGGUGAACAAGUCCCAAUUCGAUCGCUUAAAUAGAUAUCCAAGUUAGCUGAUGAAGUUGUUUCUACCUUUCUCUUCCACUUGAACCUUCACCUAACAGAGAUGUGAGAGAUAGAAAGAGACAGAAAGCAGUGCGGAGAUCUUCUUAUAUUGUUUCACUUUUUCGCAUCGAACAGCUCAUUUAUUGUA